RNAcentral lists this non-coding RNA (29 nucleotides) under Homo sapiens (human). Lineage: Eukaryota; Metazoa; Chordata; Mammalia; Primates; Hominidae. The record is from RNAcentral.
UCACCGUGUUUGAGAAUGGGCCACAUGUC